CAAGUUCCCAAGGACCCCCAGCAUGCUUGAUUGAACUAAUUGGGCUAGCUCCAGUGCCACCAUCAUGACCUGAUAUCUGAAUUAUGUCUGCGUUUCCUUUGGAUACUCCAGAAGCUACAGUUCCAAUUCCUGCUUCAGCUACAAGCUUUACAGAUACCUUCGCUUUUGGAUUGAUCUGAUGAAGAUCAUAAAUUAACUGUGCUAGAUCCUCGAUUGAAUAGAUGUCAUGGUGGGGUGGUGGGGAUAUGAGAGGAACUCCAGGUUUG
Molecule: unclassified non-coding RNA, 266 nt
Filed under: Hevea brasiliensis (rubber tree)
Lineage: Eukaryota; Viridiplantae; Streptophyta; Magnoliopsida; Malpighiales; Euphorbiaceae
Source: RNAcentral